This is a long non-coding RNA of Mercenaria mercenaria, 573 nucleotides long. RefSeq lists it as uncharacterized. The record is from RefSeq and is a predicted model, not a curated record. The transcript has 3 exons. Lineage: Eukaryota; Metazoa; Mollusca; Bivalvia; Venerida; Veneridae.
UAUAGUCAAACCACAACAUAUAUGUAGGGAUGGGGAUAGUGUACAGGGUUCCCAUGUAGCAAGUGAAUCGGGAAGUUACAUUCUACAAUGGAAAUACUUUGAUUCUACAAAAGCUUCCUUUGAAUUCUCACUAACUACACACAAGUCAAAGGUCAUGUAUCACACAGAACUUCUGCAGUCAGCCACUUUCAGAGGGUCUAUGGCUAGUCUAUAAUCCAGUGCUAGUGGGUUUUCCUCGCUUAGCAUCGGAACAAACCAGAGUAUUCCAAUGGCAAGGAAACAUUGAUAUGAGUCCCAGUCAAUGUGAAACAAUUUAAACAGUAUACAAUGCAUAUCUUAGUCAAAUUUUACAUAUGGGGAACAUGUUUUGUUAUUUAUUGUUAUGUGUAGUUAAAUAUGGGUUUAUCUCAGACGUGUGGCUAUUUCAGAAUGUUGUGACUUGUCAUUUCUAAUUCUUACUUUUUAUACAAUGGGUAUUUAAAUUAAUUGUAAAAAGGAGUGCAUAUUUCAUUUGCAAAUUGUGAUCUAAAUGAGCCACGCCAUGAGAAAACCAACAUAGUGGCUUUGCGACCA